Molecule: transfer RNA, 71 nt
Filed under: Fasciola hepatica (liver fluke)
Lineage: Eukaryota; Metazoa; Platyhelminthes; Trematoda; Plagiorchiida; Fasciolidae
Rfam family: tRNA
About the family: Transfer RNA (tRNA) molecules are approximately 80 nucleotides in length. Their secondary structure includes four short double-helical elements and three loops (D, anti-codon, and T loops). Further hydrogen bonds mediate the characteristic L-shaped molecular structure. tRNAs have two regions of fundamental functional importance: the anti-codon, which is responsible for specific mRNA codon recognition, and the 3' end, to which the tRNAs corresponding amino acid is attached (by aminoacyl-tRNA synthetases). tRNAs cope with the degeneracy of the genetic code in two manners: having more than one tRNA (with a specific anti-codon) for a particular amino acid; and 'wobble' base-pairing, i.e. permitting non-standard base-pairing at the 3rd anti-codon position.
Source: Rfam by way of RNAcentral
GCGUCAGUGGUUCAGUAGUAGAAUGCUCGCCUGCCAUGCGGACGGCCCGGAUUCGAUUCCCGGCUGGCGCA